Molecule: ribosomal RNA, 884 nt
Filed under: Lactarius scrobiculatus
Lineage: Eukaryota; Fungi; Basidiomycota; Agaricomycetes; Russulales; Russulaceae
Description: eukaryotic LSU rRNA
Rfam family: Eukaryotic large subunit ribosomal RNA
Source: RNAcentral
UCCCCUAGUAACUGCGAGUGAAGCGGGAAAAGCUCAAAUUUAAAAUCUGGCGGUCUUUGGCCGUCCGAGUUGUAAUUUAGAGAAGCGUCUUCCGCGCCGGACCGUGCACAAGUCUCCUGGAAUGGAGCGUCAUAGAGGGUGAGAAUCCCGUCUUUGGCACGGAUGCCUGGUGCUUCUGUGAUGCGCUCUCGAAGAGUCGAGUUGUUUGGGAAUGCAGCUCAAAAUGGGUGGUGAACUCCAUCUAAAGCUAAAUAUUGGCGAGAGACCGAUAGCGAACAAGUACCGUGAGGGAAAGAUGAAAAGCACUUUGGAAAGAGAGUGAAACAGUACGUGAAAUUGUUGAAAGGGAAACGCUUGAAGUCAGUCGCGUCGACCGAGACUCAGCCUUGCCUCGGCUUGGUGUACUUCUCGGCCCGACGGGUCAGCGUCAAUUUUGCCCCUCGGAUAAUGGCAAGGGAAAGGUGGCACCUUUACGGGUGUGUUAUAGUCUCCUGUCGCAUGCGAGGGAUGGGAUUGAGGAACUCAGCGCGCACCUUGGUGUCGGGGCUUCGGCCCACGUCACGCGCUUAGGAUGCUGGCGUAAUGGCUUUAAACGACCCGUCUUGAAACACGGACCAAGGAGUCCAACACGCCCGCGAGUGUUCGGGUGGAAAACCCGUGCGCGUAAUGAAAGUGAAAGUUGGGACCUCUGUCGUGGAGGGCACCGACGCCCGGACCAGACCUUCUGUGACGGAUCUGCGGUAGAGCGUGUGUGUUGGGACCCGAAAGAUGGUGAACUAUGCCUGAAUAGGGUGAAGCCAGAGGAAACUCUGGUGGAGGCUCGUAGCGAUUCUGACGUGCAAAUCGAUCGUCAAAUUUGGGUAUAGGGGCGAAAGACUAAUCGA